Molecule: ribosomal RNA, 433 nt
Filed under: uncultured bacterium
Lineage: Bacteria
Description: bacterial SSU rRNA
Rfam family: Bacterial small subunit ribosomal RNA
Source: RNAcentral
AACGAACGCUGGCGGCAUGCCUAACACAUGCAAGUCGAACGAACCCUUCGGGGUUAGUGGCGCACGGGUGCGUAACACGUGGGAAUCUGCCCUUUGCUUCGGAAUAACAGUUAGAAAUGACUGCUAAUACCGGAUAAUGUCUUCGGACCAAAGAUUUAUCGGCAAAGGAUGAGCCCGCGUAGGAUUAGCUUGUUGGUGAGGUAAAGGCUCACCAAGGCGACGAUCCUUAGCUGGUCUGAGAGGAUGAUCAGCCACACUGGGACUGAGACACGGCCCAGACUCCUACGGGAGGCAGCAGUGGGGAAUAUUGGACAAUGGGCGAAAGCCUGAUCCAGCAAUGCCGCGUGAGUGAUGAAGGCCUUAGGGUUGUAAAGCUCCUUUACCAGGGAUGAUAAUGACAGUACCUGGAGAAUAAGCUCCGGCUAACUCCGUG